Molecule: ribosomal RNA, 450 nt
Filed under: uncultured bacterium
Lineage: Bacteria
Description: bacterial SSU rRNA
Rfam family: Bacterial small subunit ribosomal RNA
Source: RNAcentral
GUGAGGAAUUUUGCGCAAUGGGGGAAACCCUGACGCAGCAACGCCGCGUGAGUGAUGAAGGCCUUCGGGUUGUAAAGCUCUUUUAGUGGGGACGAAAUGCAGGGGCCCAACAAGUCCCUGUGCUGACGGUACCCACAGAAAAAGUUCCGGCUAACUACGUGCCAGCAGCCGCGGUAAUACGUAGGGAGCAAGCGUUGUUCGGAAUUAUUGGGCGUAAAGAGCGCGUAGGCUGUUCUGUAAGUCCGGUGUGAAAUCCCACGGCUUAACCGUGGAACUGCAUUGGAUACUGCAGGGCUGGAGUGUGGGAGAGGAGAGUGGAAUUCCCAGUGUAGAGGUGAAAUUCGUAGAUAUUGGGAGGAACACCGGUGGCGAAGGCGGCUCUCUGGACCACAACUGACGCUGAGGCGCGAAAGCUAGGGGAGCAAACGGGAUUAGAUACCCCAGUAGUCC